RNAcentral lists this transfer RNA (76 nucleotides) under Helicobacter cappadocius. RNAcentral describes it as "tRNA-Val". It matches the Rfam family "tRNA". From Rfam's summary of the family: Transfer RNA (tRNA) molecules are approximately 80 nucleotides in length. Their secondary structure includes four short double-helical elements and three loops (D, anti-codon, and T loops). The record is from RNAcentral. Lineage: Bacteria; Pseudomonadati; Campylobacterota; Epsilonproteobacteria; Campylobacterales; Helicobacteraceae.
GGUCGCGUAGCUCAGUUGGUAGAGCACUACCUUGACAUGGUAGUGGUCGUUGGUUCAAAUCCAAUCGUGGCCACCA